AGCAGGUCGGCGAUGACAAUGAGCCCCCGACUUAUCUGGAAGCCACUGCAGGCUAUGGAGAAAUGGAGGCCCAGUUCGCCUUUGACGACAAAACCAUCAGACGGACCUUCAUCAGGAAGGUCUACGCCAUCCUCAUGGUUCAGCUGCUCGUGACAGUGGGCAUAGUUAGUCUCUUCUCAUUCUGUGAACCUGUCAGGUUUUUUAUUCAGACUCAUCCAGGCUUGUACAUGGCAUCAUACCUCACGUUCUUUGUCACCUACAUUGCACUCAGCUGUUGUGGAGA
Molecule: long non-coding RNA, 283 nt
Organism: Larimichthys crocea (large yellow croaker)
Lineage: Eukaryota; Metazoa; Chordata; Actinopteri; Sciaenidae
Exons: 5
Source: RefSeq, a predicted model, not a curated record